Colius striatus (speckled mousebird) is the source of this 1999-nucleotide RNA transcript. It is a transcript of the gene named acetyl-CoA acetyltransferase 1, with no coding region annotated. The record is from RefSeq and is a predicted model, not a curated record. The transcript is spliced from 13 exons. NCBI's taxonomy places the organism in Eukaryota, Metazoa, Chordata, Aves, Coliiformes, Coliidae.
AUGUACUGGACUGAUUACAGGGAUCCUUGGAGCAGAGUGCCUGUCUUGGGACAAAAGGCUUUGAGGUGUACAAGCCGUGGCUAUGCAUCACAGCGUACCUUAAAUGAGGUGGUGAUAGCAAGUGCUGUAAGGACACCGAUUGGAUCUUUCCAAGGAUCCCUUUCAUCAUUGCCAGCCACUAAACUUGGUUCCAUUGCAAUUAAGGGAGCAAUUGACAGAGCAGGGAUCCCUGCAGAAGAAGUGAAAGAAGCGUACAUGGGUAAUGUCUUGCAGGCUGGCCAAGGACAAGCUCCAGCAAGACAAGCAGCCCUUGGUGCAGGUCUGCCAAUCUGCACUCCUAGUACAACUGUCAAUAAAGUCUGUGCUUCAGGAAUGAAAUCAAUCAUGAUGGCAGCACAAAGCUUGAUGUGUGGGAGUCAGGACGUCAUGGUUGCUGGUGGAAUGGAGAGCAUGUCUAAUGUUCCCUACACAAUGAGCAGAGGGGCAACGCCUUACGGAGGGGUAAAGCUGGAAGACCUGAUAGUAAAAGAUGGGCUGACAGAUGCUUAUAACCAUAUCCAUAUGGGCAACUGUGCUGAAAACACUGCCAAGAAGUUCACAAUUUCACGAGAGGAACAAGACACUUAUGCCAUAGGCUCUUACACUAAGAGCAAGACAGCCUGGGAUGCUGGAAUACUGAAGAAUGAAAUAGUCCCUGUCACUAUAUCAAAAAAAGGAAAGCCAGACAUAGAAGUGAAUGAAGAUGAAGAAUACAAACGUGUUGAUUUUAGCAAAGUUCCGAAGCUGAAAGCUGUUUUCCAAAAAGAAAAUGGAACCAUCACAGCGGCCAACGCCAGUACCCUGAAUGAUGGAGCAGCUGCCUUGGUGCUGAUGACUGCAGAGGCAGCCAAGAGACUGAAAGUCAAACCAUUGGCACGGAUAGUAGCUUUUGCAGAUGCUGCUGUUGAUCCUAUUGACUUCCCAGUUGCACCGGCCUAUGCUGUCCCCAAGAUUCUAAGUGAGACAGGCCUGAAAAAAGAAGACAUUGCAAUGUGGGAGAUCAAUGAAGCGUUCAGCGUUGUGGUGCUUGCCAACAUGAAAAUGCUGGGGAUCGAUCCGCAGAAGGUGAACGUGAACGGCGGCGCCGUCUCCCUGGGACAUCCCAUCGGGAUGUCUGGAGCAAGGAUUGUUGUUCACAUGGCCCAUGCGCUGAAACAAGGACAAUAUGGGCUGGCAGGAAUUUGCAAUGGUGGAGGAGGUGCUUCUGCAAUAUUGAUAGAGAAGCUGUAGGCCCAUCCAGCCUUGGAGACACCUGCCAGUCAAAACCAGAUGUGGUUUGUUACAUCUUACUCGGCAGUAAGCAGCAGAGGGAAUAAAUACUUUAACUAGGAGGGAUGGGGAGCUGUUCUUUCUGAGAAGGAAUAUACUUGUAAGGAGCAAAUGCCCAGCGAGGGGUAAAUGCUACACUAAGAAAACUGACCUUCCCUCAUGUUCUGACACCUGCUCCAGAAGUAGACUGCUAUAGGACAGCAACUUGGAACUGAAGAUGCUUCUUCCUCUGAAAGCGUAAGUGAACUGAUAACGAACAAGACAGAUUAUGGGAAACAGUGGGUGUGCCAUGAAAGCGUGACACUUGGCCUCAAGCAGGAGCAAGUCUACUUAAAAACAUCACCUAGCUACGGUCAGAGCACUAGUCAGUGUCCAAUACGACCAUGUAGCAAAGAACUGGUUUUGUCAUUCUGUCACUUGCUACUCUUGGAGCUCUGUGUUUAACACCAAAUUCCACAUCUUAAAAAAUGACAGCUCAGCACAGCUUUUCUGUCCUGUACCUGCCCAGCUGGACUCACACAACAUGAAGCAAGACACACAUCUUUUUAUUAAACCAAAAAUAUUUAUUCAAGCUGUAAAUGUUAUGCAGUAUUUAGUUAUUGGAUGGGUUUAAUAUAAACAUCUACUGCAUAUAUUGGUUCCUUAGGAAUCCUUGUAUAGUGUCUGAACCAUUGCCCUCUUGCUGUACAGA